This 566-nucleotide ribosomal RNA is filed under the name uncultured Alphaproteobacteria bacterium. RNAcentral's name for it is "bacterial SSU rRNA". It matches the Rfam family "Bacterial small subunit ribosomal RNA", at positions 333 to 917 of the family's 1533-position model. Lineage: Bacteria; Pseudomonadati; Pseudomonadota; Alphaproteobacteria. The record is from RNAcentral.
AGACUCCUACGGGAGGCAGCAGUAGGGAAUCUUAGACAAUGGGGGCAACCCUGAUCUAGCCAUGCCGCGUGUGUGAUGAAGGCCUUAGGGUCGUAAAGCACUUUCGCCAGAGAUGAUAAUGACAGUAUCUGGUAAAGAAACCCCGGCUAACUCCGUGCCAGCAGCCGCGGUAAUACGGAGGGGGUUAGCGUUGUUCGGAAUUACUGGGCGUAAAGCGCGCGUAGGCGGACUAUUAAGUCAGAGGUGAAAUCCCGGGGCUCAACCCCGGAACUGCCUUUGAUACUGGUAGUCUUGAGUUCGAGAGAGGUGAGUGGAAUUCCGAGUGUAGAGGUGAAAUUCGUAGAUAUUCGGAGGAACACCAGUGGCGAAGGCGGCUCACUGGCUCGAUACUGACGCUGAGGUGCGAAAGUGUGGGGAGCAAACAGGAUUAGAUACCCUGGUAGUCCACACCGUAAACGAUGAAUGCCAGUCGUCGGGUAGCAUGCUAUUCGGUGACACACCUAACGGAUUAAGCAUUCCGCCUGGGGAGUACGGUCGCAAGAUUAAAACUCAAAUGAAUUGACGGG